RNAcentral lists this ribosomal RNA (1450 nucleotides) under marine metagenome. RNAcentral's name for it is "bacterial LSU rRNA". It matches the Rfam family "Bacterial large subunit ribosomal RNA", at positions 876 to 2427 of the family's 2925-position model. The record is from RNAcentral.
AGUGCGUUGAAUAAAUAGAUGUUUAGAGGUAGAGCACUAAAUGGGCUAGGGGGAAGAGAUUCUUACCAAACCUAAUAAAACUCCGAAUGCUAAACAUUGUUCCUCAACAGACAGACUGUGGGUGCUAAGGUCCAUGGUCGAGAGGGAAAGAGCCCAGACCACCAGAUAAGGUCCCCAAAUUAUGAUUAAGUGUGAAAGGAUGUGGAAAUUCCUUAACAGCCGGGAGGUUGGCUUAGAAGCAGCCAUCCUUUAAAGAUAGCGUAACAGCUCACCGGUCUAAUAGAGUUUCUGCGCCGAAGAUGUAACGGGGCUAAAAUCAUAUACCGAAUCUGUGGAUUUAUAAUUUUUUCGAAAAUUAUAACUGGUAGCGGAACGUUCUGUAAGUCUGUGAAGGGAUACCCGUGAAGGAUCCUGGAGAUAUCAGAAGUGCGAAUGCUGACAUAAGUAACGAUAAAAGAAGUGAAAAACUUCUUCGCCGAAAAUCCAAGGGUUUCUGCGCAAGGUUAAUCCGCGCAGAGUUAGUCGGCACCUAAGGCGAGGGCGAAAGCCGUAGUCGAUGGAAAUAAGGUUAAUAUUCCUUAACCAGAUGGUAGUGACGAAUCUUGUAAAUUGUGAGUUCUUAAUGGAUUGAACUUGCCGCGAAAAGGUUCCAAGAAAUAGCUCCAUCAUUAGACCGUACCCUAAACCGACACAGGUGGAUUAAUAGAGUAUAUUUAGGCGCUUGAGAGAAUGAUGUUGAAGGAACUCGGCAAAAUGCUUCCGUAACUUCGGAAUAAGGAAGACCUUUUUGUAGGCAACUACAGAAAGGUGGCACAAGCCAGGGAGAAGCGACUGUUUAUCAAAAACACAGGGCUCUGCUAACACGUAAGUGGAUGUAUAGGGUCUGACGCCUGCCCGGUGCUGGAAGGUUAAUGCGAUGGGUGCAAGCUCAUUUCUGAAGCCCCAGUAAACGGCGGCCGUAACUAUAACGGUCCUAAGGUAGCGAAAUUCCUUGUCGGGUAAGUUCCGACCUGCAUGAAUGGCGUAACGAUUUCUCCGCUGUCUCCAACAUCAACUCAGUGAAAUUGAAUUCUCCGUGAAGAUGCGGAGUUCGCGUAGUUAGACGGAAAGACCCCGUGCACCUUUACUGCAACUUUACAUUGGUGUUAGGAAAAACAUAUUUAGCAUAGGAGGGAGACAUUGAAGCAGAGGCGUCAGCUUUUGUGGAGUCGCCAGUGAAAUACCUCUUUUGUUUUUCUUGAUAUCUAACUGAUAGCCGUCAUCCGGCAUCAAGACAUUGUAUGGUGGGUAGUUUGACUGGGGCGGUCGCCUCCCAAAUAGUAACGGAGGCGUGCGAAGGUAAGCUCAGAACGGUCAGAAAUCGUUCGUAGAGUGCAAUGGCAUAAGCUUGCCUGACUGUGAGACUGACAAGUCGAGCAGAGUCGAAAGACGGUCAUAGUGAUCCGGUGGU